AAGCCAGACUCCUACGGGAGGCAGCAGUGGGGAAUAUUGCACAACGGGCGCAAGCCUGAUGCAGCCAUGCCGCGUGUAUGAAGAAGGCCUUCGGGUUGUAAAGUACUUUCAGCGGGGAGGAAGGUGUUGAGGUUAAUAACCUCAGCAAUUGACGUUACCCGCAGAAGAAGCACCGGCUAACUCCGUGCCAGCAGCCGCGGUAAUACGGAGGGUGCAAGCGUUAAUCGGAAUUACUGGGCGUAAAGCGCACGCAGGCGGUCUGGCAAGUCGGAUGUGAAAUCCCCGGGCUCAACCUGGGAACUGCAUUCGAAACUGGCAGGCUGGAGUUUUGUAGAGGGGGGUAGAAUUCCAGGUGUAGCGGUGAAAUGCGUAGAGAUCUGGAGGAAUACCGGUGGCGAAGGCGGCCCCCUGGACAAAGACUGACGCUCAGGUGCGAAAGCGUGGGGAGCAAACAGGAUUAGAUACCCGUGUAU
Molecule: ribosomal RNA, 473 nt
Filed under: uncultured bacterium
Lineage: Bacteria
Description: bacterial SSU rRNA
Rfam family: Bacterial small subunit ribosomal RNA
Source: RNAcentral